GAUGAAGAACGUAGCAAAAUGCGAUAAGUAAUGUGAAUUGCAGAAUUCAGUGAAUCAUCGAAUCUUUGAACGCACAUUGCGCCCGCUGGUAUUCCGGCGGGCAUGCCUGUUCGAGCGUCAUUUCAACCCUCAAGCCCCCGGGUUUGGUGUUGGGGAUCGGCUCUGCCCUUCUGGGCGGUGCCGCCCCCGAAAUACAUUGGCGGUCUCGCUGCAGCCUCCAUUGCGUAGUAGCUAACACCUCGCAACUGGAACGCGGCGCGGCCAUGCCGUAAAACCCCAACUUCUGAAUGUUGACCUCGGAUCAGGUAGGAAUACCCGCUGAACUUAAGCAUAUAAAUAAGCGGAGGA
Molecule: unclassified non-coding RNA, 348 nt
Filed under: soil metagenome
Description: partial contains 5.8S ribosomal RNA, internal transcribed spacer 2, and large subunit ribosomal RNA
Rfam family: 5.8S ribosomal RNA (bases 1-120)
Source: RNAcentral